GGGCGCGUAGCUCAGCUGGUUAGAGCGCCUGCUUCACACGCAGGAGGUCAUAGGUUCGAGUCCUGUCGCGCCCACCA
Molecule: transfer RNA, 77 nt
Filed under: Acidobacteriota bacterium
Lineage: Bacteria; Pseudomonadati; Acidobacteriota
Also listed under: 2 other names
Description: tRNA-Val
Rfam family: tRNA
About the family: Transfer RNA (tRNA) molecules are approximately 80 nucleotides in length. Their secondary structure includes four short double-helical elements and three loops (D, anti-codon, and T loops).
Source: RNAcentral